This 464-nucleotide ribosomal RNA is filed under the name uncultured Planctomycetota bacterium. Its description in RNAcentral is "bacterial SSU rRNA". It matches the Rfam family "Bacterial small subunit ribosomal RNA", at positions 365 to 819 of the family's 1533-position model. The record is from RNAcentral. Lineage: Bacteria; Pseudomonadati; Planctomycetota.
UUCGCAAUGCCCGAAAGGGUGACGAAGCGACGCCGCGUGUGGGAAGAAGGCCUUCGGGUUGUAAACCACUGUCGGGAGUUAGGAAAUGUAAGGGUGUUAAUAGUAUCCUUACUUGACUAAGGCUCCGGAGGAAGCCACGGCUAACUCUGUGCCAGCAGCCGCGGUAAUACAGAGGCGGCAAGCGUUGUUCGGAAUUAUUGGGCGUAAAGAGCACGUAGGCGGCCUUGUAAGUCAGUUGUGAAAGCCUUCUGCUUAACGGAAGAACAGCAGCUGAUACUGCAAGGCUAGAGUGCGGAAGGGGAGAGUGGAACUUCUGGUGGAGCGGUGAAAUGCGUAGAUAUCAGAAGGAACACCGGCGGCGAAGGCGACUCUCUGGUCCGUAACUGACGCUGAGUGUGCGAAAGCUAGGGGAGCAAACGGGAUUAGAUACCCCGGUAGUCCUAGCCGUAAACGAUGGGCACUAA